RNAcentral lists this long non-coding RNA (427 nucleotides) under Olea europaea (common olive). RNAcentral describes it as "long non-coding RNA (OEUR_LNC008312)". Lineage: Eukaryota; Viridiplantae; Streptophyta; Magnoliopsida; Lamiales; Oleaceae. The record is from RNAcentral.
CAAGCCAUAUAAAGGCGAGCAGCCCUUAUAGCACUAGCAAACGGCCUACUUAUAGCCCUAUUUUCCCCUUUAUUCGGGGACUUCAACGAGGCCUUACAAGCUCAUAAAAUGGCAACUCUUCACGUUUUCCUCAGACAAAAGAACAACGGAUUGAACAGGACAGGAAGCCUGACAUAGAUAUUGAUUUGAACAAAGGAACUUAAACCGGUACCAGAAACCAAACAAGAGAUGGAAUUCCAGAUUGAACAGAUGACCGACCUACAAAAGGAGGCCAAUCUUUUCCAAUCUAGAGAUUGGUAGAUUACCUUCGAAACAAAGGUAACUAAUAAUCCUUCUGCUUUGGACAAGAUAAGUGGACAAAUGAGUUGAAUAAUACAGGGACAGCUAGGUGAAGGUCUCCUUUGAUAUCUCCCAACCUAAAGGCUUU